UACGUAGGGUGCAAGCGUUAAUCGGAAUUACUGGGCGUAAAGCGUGCGCAGGCGGUUAUGCAAGCCAGAUGUGAAAUCCCCGGGCUCAACCUGGGAACUGCAUUUGUGACUGCAUGGCUAGAGUACGGUAGAGGGGGAUGGAAUUCCGCGUGUAGCAGUGAAAUGCGUAGAUAUGCGGAGGAACACCGAUGGCGAAGGCAAUCCCCUGGGCCUGCACUGACGCUCAUGCACGAAAGCGUGGGGAGCAAACAGG
RNAcentral lists this ribosomal RNA (253 nucleotides) under uncultured bacterium. Its description in RNAcentral is "partial 16S ribosomal RNA". It matches the Rfam family "Bacterial small subunit ribosomal RNA", at positions 524 to 776 of the family's 1533-position model. The record is from RNAcentral.